CACCAUUAUUUUUGUAACUUAACAUUUCGUUUAUUGUUUACAUUCUGUUUGUUUACUUUGUUAGUCUUGUCAAGUAUCAGCUGUCAAAUUCGACACACAGGAUAGAUUUUCAGUUGUUGUCUGUGGUCCUUUGAGAAAACUCGUGCCAGAUCGUCAUCGGACAGUGGUCAGUGGCGACAUGACGCUCAGAACAAUGAUCGUGCUGACUAGCCACAGAGUAGUUUUGUGACGAUGAGCUGACAUCCCCGGUGACGGCUUUUUUCGGAACUGGCAAGGAGGCAAACCAUUCUCUGUCAGAACGUCUCGAGUGGUGUGUGGUUGUUUUUUUCUUCCCGCCCGCGUGGCGCAGGCCGUAUUGGUACCGAGUUCCUUGCUUCAUAUUUCCUGGUGAGUAUUUCGAUCGUGGGUUCAGGUUAUCUGAUUGGUCUACGAGAUAGAUUCUGACUAAGUUGUUUCUUUGCAGUUACCAGAUACGUACCACAGACACCCACGCAGCAUCACACCAUGUGUACCUAACCUGAAUUGCCGAGUGAGUAAACUAGCAUUUCGUUGUUAUUCGAUUUCCGAUGACUUUGGAUUUCGAAAGCCAUCUGCCUUGUCUUUAUUUCUACACGUAGCAACGUCUAACCCCGCGUAUUUCUUUUACAGCAAUUUCAAUCCUGCCCGGUGAAGCGUACGAUUGCCCGACGCGUGUCACCUGACCCAACCCCAAGAAGGUGUCGUUGGUGACCAGAGCCGUCAGCGAGCCACGAGCCGUCCGGAGCUCCUGUCCUGGCCCCGUCCAGCCGUCCAGGUUGGCCGUUGUAUGUUUGUUGAGCGGAUACUGAGGAAUUUCCUUAGGAUUUCCAUUAAUCUUCAGCGGCAUCAGCCUUCUAACGCCGCUGCUGAAUGUAGGAUUGCAAAGGCAGAACCCGGGUGGACUCUAGCGGGUUAAAACCUUUAUUUUAUUAUUUUUUCUUCAUAGGGAGCCCCGAUAGAACGGGCAGUAGUAUCUAAAUUGCACUUUGAACCUUUUGUAGGCGCUAGGCUAUCAACGUCCUUCGGUUACGGGGCCUUAACGUUAAACUGCUAUCCCAUUGAAGUAAUAUAGAAGUUUCUCUGUGGUUAAUACCAUCCUUCUACCCCUGUGGCGUGAAACGCAGCGGUGGAACCUUGGUUUCUCCACUCUUAUAUAAUUUCCUUGCAAUACCUUGUGUACUU
This is a non-coding RNA of Plutella xylostella (diamondback moth), 1200 nucleotides long. Lineage: Eukaryota; Metazoa; Arthropoda; Insecta; Lepidoptera; Plutellidae. The record is from RefSeq and is a predicted model, not a curated record.